UGCGUCGAUGAAGAGCGCAGCAAAAUGCGAGACGUAACGUGAAUUGCAGGACAUAUUGAACGUCUAUUCUUCUAACGCACAUUGCGGCUUUGGGUUGACUGAAGCCACGCCUGGUUGAGGGUCAGUU
Molecule: ribosomal RNA, 127 nt
Filed under: Halobiotus crispae
Lineage: Eukaryota; Metazoa; Tardigrada; Eutardigrada; Parachela; Halobiotidae
Description: partial 5.8S ribosomal RNA
Rfam family: 5.8S ribosomal RNA
About the family: 5.8S ribosomal RNA (5.8S rRNA) is a component of the large subunit of the eukaryotic ribosome. It is transcribed by RNA polymerase I as part of the 45S precursor that also contains 18S and 28S rRNA. Functionally, it is thought that 5.8S rRNA may be involved in ribosome translocation.
Source: RNAcentral